RNAcentral lists this long non-coding RNA (785 nucleotides) under Carica papaya (papaya). RNAcentral's name for it is "long non-coding RNA (CPAP_LNC010515)". Lineage: Eukaryota; Viridiplantae; Streptophyta; Magnoliopsida; Brassicales; Caricaceae. The record is from RNAcentral.
UGAAGUGGCAUUUUUGUAAUUAUAAUGACAUAUCACUCUCUCUAUAAAAAUUGACAGACGCUCCAAAUUAUUCAUACAAGAGACAGAGAGAGAUGGCAUCUGGUAGAAGUAUGAUCGACGGUAGAGGUUACUCGCCGAGAAAUCACGGCCGUCUGAUCCCCAAAAGGGGCCAGGUGAAGAUGGGGAUCGUCUUGGGCGUGGCCCACUUUUUGGCUUCGAUAGUUUCAGGCAGAGUAAGAUGCGGAGGUGCACGGUUGUUUACGUAGACUAGACCCGCCACCACGUUACCACCGCAACCUAAGCCCUAAUUUUUUUUGGGAAACUAGGAAUCAGAAGAGGAAACUAAUUUUAUGGUCUUCUUUUUUUGUUUGUGGGUUUAAAUUUUAUAUGUUAAUUAUUAUGAAUUAUAGUGGUGUAUUGUAUAUAGAAAAGUUUUAAUUUAUAAUUUAAUUUUUUUGGGUUGUUCUUCAAUUAUAAAAUAUUAAGUAACAAUAUAUUUUAACUCAUCGAACAAACUAUUUUUAAUUUGUCAUUAAUAAUUAAUAAUUAAUAAUGUCAAUUUAUAGAAUUAAUUAAUAAAUUUGCCUAGUUAAUGGGUGACUGAGCUUCACACAUGGAAUUAGUCAAGGCUAAAAACUAAUAUAUAUAUAUAUAUAUAUGUACAUGUAUGUAUUCAACAAUAAAGUAGAAAGAGAAAUGCAACUCGGUCACGUUACUAAAUUGCCAAUUAACGAAUCGACCGACUCAUGAUUGAUGGUAUCGCCAAACCCGGCAGCAUAAAACAG